RNAcentral lists this ribosomal RNA (253 nucleotides) under uncultured bacterium. RNAcentral's name for it is "partial 16S ribosomal RNA". It matches the Rfam family "Bacterial small subunit ribosomal RNA", at positions 524 to 776 of the family's 1533-position model. The record is from RNAcentral.
UACGGAGGGUGCAAGCGUUAUCCGGAUUUAUUGGGUUUAAAGGGUGCGUAGGCGGCUCUUUAAGUCAGUGGUGAAAGCUUGGCGCUUAACGCCAAAAUGUCCGCUGAUACUGGAGAGCUUGAGUCAAGAAGAGGUAAGCAGAAUUCAUGGUGUAGCGGUGAAAUGCGCAGAUAUCAGGAAGAACACCGGUGGCGAAGGCGGCGUUCUGGACUGUAUCUGACACUGAGGAACGAAAGCCAGGGGAGCAAACGGG